UAGCCUUGGUGGGGGGCGCGGGCGAAGUUCGUCCGCCGGACUUGGAAUGGGGCGAGACUUUGCGAGGGGCCUCGGGGUGCCAAAAAUAAGCCGCGGGCAAAGCCGCUCCCAAAAAUAAGCGCCGGAAGGUCGUGGUGCCAAAACCCCCCAGCGGAAAAAUGGCCAAAAAACGGGUGGGCUAUAGCCUUGGUGGGGGGCGCGGGCGAAGUUCGUCCGCCGGACUCGGAAUGGGGUGAGACUUUGCGAGGGGCCUCGGGGUGCCUGCGGGAAGUCGCGGGCACAGCCACGUCCAAAAAUAAGCCCCCGAAGGUCGUGGUGCCAAAACCCCCCAGCGGAAAAAUGGCCAAAAAACGGGUGGGCUAUAGCCUUGGUGGGGGGCGCGGGCGAAGUUCGUCAUCCGGGACUUGGAAUGGGGCGAGACAUUGCGAGGGGCAUCGGGGUGCCAAGCGAGAAAGUCGCGGGCAACAGCCGCGUCCAGAAAUUAAGCGCCCGACGGGUCGUGGUGCCAAAACCCCCCCAGCGGAAAAAAUGGGCCAAAAAAACGGGUGGGCUAUAGCCCUUGGUGGGGGUGCGCGGGCGAAAGUUCGUCCCGCCCGGACUCGGAAUUGGGGCGAGACUUUUGCGAGGGGGCCUUCGGGGGUGCCAAAAAAUUAAGCCCGCGGGGCAAAAGCCCGCACCCCAAAAGGUCGUGGGUGCCAAAAACCCCCCCAGCGGGAAAAAAUGGGCCAAAAAAACGGGUGGGCUAUAGCGUUGGUGGGGGGCGCGGGCGAAGUUCGUCCGCCGGACUCGGAAUGGGGCGAGACUUUGCGCGGGGCCUCGGAGCGCCAAAAAUAAGCCGCGGGCAAAGCCGCGCCCAAAAAUAAGCGCCCGAAGGUCGUGGUGCCAAAACCCCCCAGCGGAAAAAUGGCCAAAAAACGGGUGGGCUAUAGCCUUGGUGGGGGGCGCGGGCGAAGUUCGUCCGCCGGACUCGGAAUGGGACGAGACUUUGCGAGGGGCCUCGGACUGCCCACGGGAAGUUGCGGGCACAGCCGCGUCCAAAAAUAAGCGCCCGAAGGUCGUGGUGCCAAAACCCCCCAGCGGAAAAAUAGCCAA
This 1092-nucleotide long non-coding RNA is filed under the name Citrus x clementina. RNAcentral describes it as "Citrus clementina (C. clementina) long non-coding RNA (CCLE_LNC004929)". Lineage: Eukaryota; Viridiplantae; Streptophyta; Magnoliopsida; Sapindales; Rutaceae. The record is from RNAcentral.